ACGCCGGUAGCUCAAUUGGUAGAGCAGCGGAUUCCAAAUCCGCAGGUUGAGGGUUCAAGUCCUUCUCGGCGUG
This 73-nucleotide transfer RNA is filed under the name Planctomycetota bacterium. RNAcentral describes it as "tRNA-Trp". It matches the Rfam family "tRNA". From Rfam's summary of the family: Transfer RNA (tRNA) molecules are approximately 80 nucleotides in length. Their secondary structure includes four short double-helical elements and three loops (D, anti-codon, and T loops). RNAcentral also lists the same sequence under 1 other name. The record is from RNAcentral. Lineage: Bacteria; Pseudomonadati; Planctomycetota.